Molecule: ribosomal RNA, 460 nt
Filed under: uncultured bacterium
Lineage: Bacteria
Description: partial 16S ribosomal RNA
Rfam family: Bacterial small subunit ribosomal RNA
Source: RNAcentral
CCUACGGGAGGCAGCAGUGAGGAAUAUUGGUCAAUGGUCGGGAGACUGAACCAGCCAAGCCGCGUGAGGGAUGAAGGUACAGAGUAUCGUAAACCUCUUUUAUAAGGGAAUAAAGUGUGGGACGUGUCCUGUUUUGUAUGUACCUUAUGAAUAAGGAUCGGCUAACUCCGUGCCAGCAGCCGCGGUAAUACGGAGGAUCCGAGCGUUAUCCGGAUUUAUUGGGUUUAAAGGGUGCGUAGGCGGCCUUUUAAGUCAGCGGUGAAAGUCUGUGGCUCAACCAUAGAAUUGCCGUUGAAACUGGGAGGCUUGAGUAUGUUUGAGGCAGGCGGAAUGCGUGGUGUAGCGGUGAAAUGCUUAGAUAUCACGCAGAACCCCGAUUGCGAAGGCAGCCUGCCAAGCCAUGACUGACGCUGAUGCACGAAAGCGUGGGGAUCAAACAGGAUUAGAUACCCGAGUAGUC